GAGGGGUUGGGUAAAGCUUUAUUAUAUAGAGAGUAAUUUACCAAGAUAACCUGGUGUUUGGCAGUAGGAGGGAGUUGCUUUAGAGCAGCGGCAGGCAGGGAUGUAAGGUCACCAUGCAUUGUUUGGCCGGCGAUGGCUAGCUGAGGGUAACAAUAAUUUAGUGAGCUUGUGCCUUACUGAAAAACUGUUCUUGCCCAAGAAGAACAAUAAAGUGCAGCUGUUUUAGUGUGGGAAGUGUCUCCUGAGGAGUCAAUAAUAGGGGCUGCAGACAGUACAUUUCCAGCAGUGUUUGGUGAGCCCACAAAAAGAGCUUCCACAAUGCUAAAAAAUGCAGGUCACUCUUACACAAAAUGUACCUAAUGAAGGAUUUCCCUUACCUGAAAGCAUCUUAUAGUUGGUCAUCUUUACAUAAACUUAUUACAAAUACAUCACCAUCAUCAUCAUCAUCAUCAUCAUCAUCAUCAUCGUUUAACGUCCAUUUCUUCCUUGUGGUGGACGGGGUAUGAGCCUACUCCUCCACUGUCCAUUUCCUCCGUGAUGUUCAGCCUCCUCAUAUCUUCCUCCACCUUGGCCUUCUCUUCUGCCUCAAGGUUUAGUUCAGGAUGUGUUCUUCUCCUCACAAACCACCUUAAUCUGGCCUUACUCCUCCAGGCCACUCCUCCCUACCACUUCUUCAUUUGAGAUUCCAUCCUGCCAUGUGAUUGCCAUCAAGUAUCUCAGCAUUCUCACACCACACUAGUGCCUCCAGCUGUUUCCUGCCAGCCCAGGUCUCUGCCCCGCACACACACACACACACCUGUGCUGCCAGGCGGAAUAUACUGGUUGACUAGUAAGCCUGCCAGUUCCCUGCACUCUUCCAAGCACAAGCUGUCCUGCCUCUCACUGCUGCCAGGCGGGAUAUUCUGGUUCACUAGUAAGCCUGCCAAUUCCCUGCACUCUUCCAAGCACAAGCUGUCCUGCCUCUCACUGCUGCCAGGGAAGGAGCCGAGAUGAGACCAGACUCAGCCCUCCAGUGAGCCCAGGUGACCACCAGGGGGACACCCACGCACCUCAUGGCUUAGGGGAAAAUGCAUGAAGGUGGUGGGUGAGUGAAGCAACGCACCCCCUGUGUAUGCUCAGGUCCCAGGCUACGUCAGGAAGGGAGACAGAGACGAGACCACUGAGCCGAGGGAACCAGUCAGGCCUUCAAGAUGCUGCCUGGAUGCUGGGGGAGACGAGAUGAGACGAGUCCUGUUGGGGAGAAGAUGGAGGGAGAUUGAUUGAAGGGCAGAGAUGAGAGAGAGAUGGAACUAACUCUCUCUCUCUGUAUUUCUAUAAAGAGAAGACUAAUAAAGUUUGGAAAUAUAUAUUACAACGGAUAUAUUUAAACCUACUACUCUUCUUCUUCCUUGUCUCUUUCCUCUGUCCACCAGUGAGCUA
Long non-coding RNA from Eriocheir sinensis (Chinese mitten crab), 1419 nucleotides. RefSeq lists it as uncharacterized. The record is from RefSeq and is a predicted model, not a curated record. Lineage: Eukaryota; Metazoa; Arthropoda; Malacostraca; Decapoda; Varunidae. The transcript has 4 exons.